Molecule: ribosomal RNA, 424 nt
Filed under: uncultured bacterium
Lineage: Bacteria
Description: bacterial SSU rRNA
Rfam family: Bacterial small subunit ribosomal RNA
Source: RNAcentral
AUUGAACGCUGGCGGCAUGCCUAACACAUGCAAGUCGAACGGCAGCACAGCAGUAGCAAUACUGUGGGUGGCGAGUGGCGGACGGGUGAGGAAUACGUCGGAAUCUGCCCAGUCGUGGGGGAUAACUAGCCGAAAGGUUAGCUAAUACCGCAUACGACCGAGAGGUGAAAGCGGGGGACCGCAAGGCCUCGCGCGAUUGGAUGAGCCGACGUCGGAUUAGCUAGUUGGCGGGGUAAAGGCCCACCAAGGCGACGAUCCGUAGCUGGUCUGAGAGGAUGAUCAGCCACACUGGAACUGAGACACGGUCCAGACUCCUACGGGAGGCAGCAGUGGGGAAUAUUGGACAAUGGGCGCAAGCCUGAUCCAGCAAUGCCGCGUGUGUGAAGAAAGGCCUUCGGGUUGGUUAAAAGGUACGAACCUUUUU